This 3203-nucleotide long non-coding RNA is filed under the name Podarcis lilfordi (Lilford's wall lizard). Lineage: Eukaryota; Metazoa; Chordata; Lepidosauria; Squamata; Lacertidae. The record is from RNAcentral.
ACUUACUGUGUCUCAAGCUGGGAACCUGGACUCCUGACAGGUAGUCAACAUGAUGCUCUCCAACAUGGUGCUAGACACUGUGGAAUUCCCUUUUCCCUGAGGUGAGGUAAAGGUAAAUCCCCCUGGAUGGUUAGGUCCAGUCAAAGGCAACUAUGGGGUGCGGUGCUCAUCUCACUUUUCAGGCCGAGAGAGCCGGCAUUUGUCCACAGACAGCUUUCUGAGUCAUGUGGCCAGCAUGACUAAACUGCUACUAGUGCACAGAGGACCAUGAUGAGUGCCAGAGCACACAGAUAUGCAGUUUUCCUUCCCGCUGUGGCGGUACCUAUUUAUCUACUUGCACUGGUAUGCUUUCAAACUGGUAGGUUGGCAGAAGCUGGGACAGAGCAAUGGGAACUCACCCCGUCACGUGGCUUCGAACUGCUGAGCUUCCGAUCAGCAAGCCCAAGAGUCUCGGUGGUUUAGACCACAGCACCACCUGUGUCUGAUGUCAAUAUGGUUUAGCUUUCAGCCCCAGUUAAAGACCUCUCUCUUCCUCCAGCUUUUAGUAGGGGUCAAGUUAAUGCUGUAGACCCACCUGUUCUUUUAUACUGAGAAUGAGCAGACCGAAUGAGUUUACCUAAGAUUUAAAAUAUUGUUUUAAGGUGCAUAAUAUUUUAUUGGUUAGUUUUAUUGUGUGCACUGGCUUGUAGUAUGGAAUUUGCUCUGGAAUCACCCUGUGGUGAAGAACAGGAUAUGAAUUGUAUAAAUAAAUAAAACUCCCAUCAUCCCUGAUCAUUGGCCAUGCUGACUGGGGCUAACAGGACCUAUCCUUCAAUAACAUCUGAAGGACAACAUAUUGGCUACUCCUGGACAUAAAGUAUUUGAUGUGCAUAUCUAGGCCAGGAAUGGAGAACCUGCAAUCCUCCAAUCAGAGGUUGUUGGAUCUGAACUCCCAUCAAAUCUGACUAUAGGUCUUGCUGGCUGGGGCUGAUAGUUGGAAUUUGUGGUAAUAUCAUCCCUUUAAGACUAGUAUAUGGGCAUUGAUGAUGUUCAUGCUACAAAGAAAUAAAUUAAAUUGAUCUUGGUAAUGAAAGUGUACAUGGGGAAUUUCUCGUGAAGCUACAGAACUUUCUGUGUGGAUCAGUUUGUAUUUGACUGUGCCCUUUUGUGGUUAGAAAUAUUUAUAUCCCUUCAGUUGGUGGCGGACUGCUUAGAACAAGCAUUCCAAAUGAUCACUGGGUGGUGUAAAGACCCUUGGCAGGCAGCUGGAACCACAAAAACCAAAUGAAAGGGUCUAAAGGAGACUGUGGGAACUUCAUUUUAUUUAGUCCUUGAGGCCACCUGGAUUUGGCGAGAAGGAGGAUCGAAAAACAGCCAGAAUUCUGCACGUCUAUACAGUCUUGCAUUUAUCAUUGUCAGAGACCAUUGAAAGAGGGAUAAUUUUUCCCUGUUUGGGGAAUAAUUCCAAGCGUUCUAUGCAUCAUUAUGAAAAGGGGAGAAAUGACAGUUGGGUAUAGUUAUCUUGGGCUUUUGUUUCAGGGUUAAGUAAGCUGUAUGGAUGACUGUAGGAAAGCUCCACACCUAAUUAUGGGAUUUAGUGACUAAGGAGGCCGCAAGGUUCUGGCUAGCUAACAUUUCCUUGUGUCCCUGUGGCUUUCAGAUGAACAUAUAUUCAAUCUACAUAAGGAGUUAUACUGGAGAAUCUCCUUCCCUCCCUCCCUUCCCAACCUAACCAAAUUUGUGUUAGUGUUAGGUCAGUUAUAGGGAACCUCAGGUCCAGAAGCUGAAUGUGACCCUCCAGAUUGUUCUUCAGACCCUUGAGACUCUUUCUAGCCCAUUCCCCCUGCACAUGCCAUACUCCCUUUCAAUAGUUUGAUUUUUAGCACUUACAUUACUUUGAUUUCAGUCUUGCCCUGUAACAACAGAUACAUUGUGCUAAUGCUAGACAUGUCUAACCGCCUCUUUAUAUAUAAAGUUGCCAGCUUACAAGAAGUCAGAACUUCUGCCUACUUCUCCUUAUAACAUAGAGGACCGUUUGCUCACAUUUAGCUGUUCCCAGCAUUUCCUUAUACAGUGGUACCUCGGGUUACAUACACAGAAAUCAUGCUCCAGCGGCGCGGCGGCAGCAGGAGGCCCCAUUAGCUAAAGUGGUGCUUCAGGUUAAGAACAGUUUCAGGUUAAGAACAGACCUCCAGUACGAAUUAAGUACUUAAACCGAGGUACCACUGUACAGUCAUACCUUGGGUUACAGACGCUUCAGGUUGCAUUUUUUCGGGUUACGGACACUCCAAAACCCAGAAGCACUGGAACGGGUUACUUCCAGGUUCCGGCAGUCAUGCAUGCGCAGAAUCGCUAAAUUGAGCUUUGCGCAUGUGCAGAAGCACCGAAUUGCAACCUGCGCAUGUGCAGGUGCGGCGCUGCGGGUUGCGAAUGCUGUGGGUUGUGAACGUGCCUCCCGCACAGAUCACGUUUGCAACCCGAGCGUCCACUGUAAUAUCUAGCUUGCUUGUUUUCCAUAUGUUCUUCCAGGCUUGGCAUACAUGAUUCUUGUGAUAAUUAAAAUGUAUAUUUUAACCCUUUCUUGGCAAUGAUUGUCUUUUCAGAUUUUUCAAAUGCGAAUUGGUGAAUAAACCUUUUCAAUACCUUCUGCAUACUUCAGUAUUUUUCUGUAUCUUGUUGGCCCAUUUAAAAAUCACAGCUUUUUAGUCCUUGUUCCAAACUUUUGAGGUGGAUGGACAGGAAUGUCUGUUCAUGCUUCAUUCUACAUCACCAGCAAGAAUGAGAUCACAUGAAUUUACAGGCACUUCAUUUGAAAAGUUUACACUUCCCAAGAUACUGCAGGAAUACUCAUGGGAAAUGCAAGUGCUCCUUAGCUAUGGAGAAAACUUUUUGCAUCAUGGCUGUGGAAUUCACACUUGUCAAAAAUACAGAAAGUUCUUCAUUACAAGAUAGCAGUUCUAGAAGAAGCAGAAUGAGGAACAGUGAGCAUGCAGAAGGCAAGGCAGAGUGUGUGGGACUGUGAUCUAGUCAGUCCUGUUUUGAAAGCCCUCCUGUUCAGACUGCUAUCAACAAUCCUAAAAUGCAGAACACGCCGUAACUGAAAGGUUCAGUCCUCUCUAGGAAUCAGAUCAGUUACUGAGGCUGCACAAGUCAUUAUAAACCAUCGGAUUGUCCUUCAAAUCCUACCCACUUCUCCAUGUGAGAGUUUGUUUUCGCCAGCACCC